AGAAGCCUGCCUACUCCCCAGUAUCUUCCCCACUGGUUAUUAUUAUUCAAUGCAGGAAGAAGAGACCACUCACCUGUAAUUUCAACAGCAACAAAAGACCUGAGGUUCCACCAUCAGAACUUCACGCCCUAAGGAAGAUGCAGCAUUUCCUGUAAAAUGCAAGUGCUCCCAGGCAGAGGUAGCUCCCGAAGCCAUGAUCACUGGACAGGCUUUAGGGACCUGCUUGAGCAGAACAUGGUAGAAGUGAUGGACUGGGGCUUCUGAGGCUAAGCCAUAAGAAGCCUUGAGAAUUUCACCUGGCCCUCACUGUCUCUGGGAGCCCUGAGCCAUGAUAGAAGAAGUCCUUCCUAUAUUGAAUGUCCUUGAGACCUCCAGUACUGGAAAGGGCAUUUGUAGAUGCUCAGACCAACAGUCCAAACUGAGCCCAGUCUGCCAACUUGCCCUGCCAAGGUGUCAGAUGCAUAUGUGAAUGAGACCAUCCUAGACCUGCUGAUAGCCCAUCACCCGGCUGACUGCUACUGAGUAACCUCUGCCAACUUCACGCCGAACACAGAACUGCUGAUUUGAACUCUGCCUGAAUUUCUUGGCCCACAGAACAAUGAGAU
RNAcentral lists this long non-coding RNA (605 nucleotides) under Homo sapiens (human). RNAcentral's name for it is "non-protein coding lnc-ITGA11-2:7". The record is from RNAcentral. Lineage: Eukaryota; Metazoa; Chordata; Mammalia; Primates; Hominidae.